ACGGAGGGAGCUAGCGUUGUUCGGAAUUACUGGGCGUAAAGCGCACGUAGGCGGCUAUUCAAGUCAGAGGUGAAAGCCCGGGGCUCAACCCCGGAACUGCCUUUGAAACUAGAUAGCUUGAAUCCAGGAGAGGUGAGUGGAAUUCCGAGUGUAGAGGUGAAAUUCGUAGAUAUUCGGAAGAACACCAGUGGCGAAGGCGGCCAUCUGGGUCAACACUGACGCUGAAGCACGAAAGCGUGGGGAGCAAACAGGA
This 253-nucleotide ribosomal RNA is filed under the name uncultured prokaryote. RNAcentral describes it as "partial 16S ribosomal RNA". It matches the Rfam family "Bacterial small subunit ribosomal RNA", at positions 525 to 777 of the family's 1533-position model. The record is from RNAcentral.